This 301-nucleotide ribosomal RNA is filed under the name uncultured bacterium. RNAcentral describes it as "partial 16S ribosomal RNA". It matches the Rfam family "Bacterial small subunit ribosomal RNA", at positions 509 to 809 of the family's 1533-position model. The record is from RNAcentral.
CAGUCGCCACGGUAAUACAGAGGGUGCGAGCGUUAAUCGUAUUUACUGGGCGUAAAGCGUGCGUAGGCGGCUUUUUAAGUCGGAUGUGAAAUCCCUGAGCUUAACUUAGGAAUUGCAUUCGAUACUGGGAAGCUAGAGUAUGGGAGAGGAUGGUAGAAUUCCAGGUGUAGCGGUGAAAUGCGUAGAGAUCUGGAGGAAUACCGAUGGCGAAGGCAGCCAUCUGGCCUAAUACUGACGCUGAGGUACGAAAGCAUGGGGAGCAAACAGGAUUAGAUACCCGUGUAGUCCCUGUCUCUUAUAA